AUUGAACGCUGGCGGUAGGCCUAACACAUGCAAGUCGAACGGCAGCACAGUAAGAGCUUGCUCUUACGGGUGGCGAGUGGCGGACGGGUGAUGAAUACAUCGGAAUCUACUUUUUCUUGGGGGCUAACGUAGGGACACUUACGCUAAUACCGCAUACGACCUACGUGUGAAAUUAUCGGAUCUUCGGACCUUGCGCGAUUGUAUGAGCCGAUGUCGGAUUAGCUAGUUGGCGGGGUAAAGGCCCACCAAGGCGACGAUCCGUAGCUGGUCUGAGAGGAUGAUCAGCCACACUGGAACUGAGACACGGUCCAGACUCCUACGGGAGGCAGCAGUGGGGAAUAUUGGACAAUGGGCGAAAGCCUGAUCCAGCCAUACCGCGUGUGUGAAGAAGGCCUUCGGGUUGUAAAGCCCUUUUGUUGGGAAAGAAAAGCAGCAGGUUAAUACCUCGCUGUUCUGACGGUACCCAAAGAAUAAGCACCGGCUAACUUCGUG
RNAcentral lists this ribosomal RNA (492 nucleotides) under uncultured bacterium. RNAcentral describes it as "partial 16S ribosomal RNA". It matches the Rfam family "Bacterial small subunit ribosomal RNA", at positions 30 to 507 of the family's 1533-position model. The record is from RNAcentral.